RNAcentral lists this ribosomal RNA (614 nucleotides) under uncultured archaeon. Its description in RNAcentral is "bacterial SSU rRNA". It matches the Rfam family "Archaeal small subunit ribosomal RNA", at positions 1 to 621 of the family's 1478-position model. The record is from RNAcentral.
UUUCCGGUUGAUCCCGCCGGACCUGACUGCUAUCGGAUUGAUACUAAGCCAUGCGAAUCUUUGUAGUAAUACAAGGCAGACGGCUCAGUAACACGUAGUCAACCUACCCUAUGGACGAGAAUAAUCUCGGGAAACUGAGCAUAAUUCUCGAUAGAUCAUAAUGCCUGGAAUGGUUUAUGGUUAAAAUGAUUCGUCGCCAUAGGAUGGGACUGCGGCCUACCAGCUUGUUGGUGAGGUAAUGGCCCACCAAGGCGAUUACAGGUACGGGCUCUGAGAGGAGAAGCCCGGAGAUGGGUACUGAGACACGGACCCAGGCCCUAUGAGGCGCAGCAGGCGAGAAAACUUUGCAAUGUGCGAAAGCACGACAAGGUUAAUCCGAGUGAUUUCUGCUAAAGAAAUCUUUUGUCAGUCAUAAAACCACUGACGAAUAAGGGGUGGGCAAGUUCUGGUGUCAGCCGCCGCGGUAAAACCAGCACCUCAAGUGGUCAGGAUGAUUAUUGGGCCUAAAGCAUCCGUAGCCGGCUUUGUUAGUUUUCGGUUAAAUCCAUGUGCUCAACACAUGGGCUGCCGAAAAUACUGCAUGGCUAGGGAGUGGGAGAGGUAGACGGUACUCA